CCAAAUAUGCCUAAGGGCCCCCUCUUUCCCCGUUACGCCACUGCCAGCUUCUGGUUUGCGACGUCGUCUUGGACGAUUUCACGACGCGAAAAUACAAUUUUCACGUCCUCUCUAGAACGUUAACGCCACAGAUAUUUGCUUCUUUUGAAAAAAAUAUGAGACUAUGCAUAAUAAAAAUCAUCCUAUUUUGUUCCCCAUGUAUUUUUUAAUGAUACUAGCAAAUGUUUUUCUAUUGACA
Paramuricea clavata is the source of this 238-nucleotide non-coding RNA. NCBI's taxonomy places the organism in Eukaryota, Metazoa, Cnidaria, Anthozoa, Malacalcyonacea, Plexauridae. The record is from the annotation of a GenBank genome assembly.